CGUAGUAAAGCGGCGAACGGGUGAGUAAACGUAACCAACCUACCCUUGAGAUCGGAAUAGCCACUGGAAACGGUGGGUAAUGCCGAAUGGUUCCAUACUGGGGCAUCCCGGAUUGGAUAAACGGCGGCUUCGGCUGUUGUUCGAGGAGGGGGUUGCGGCCUAUCAGCUUGUUGGUGAGGUAAUGGCUUACCAAGGCUAUGACGGGUAGCCGGUCUGAGAGGACGACCGGUCACACUGGGACUGAGACACUGCCCAGACUCCUACGGGAGGCUGCAGUCGAGAAUCUUCCGCAAUGGGCGAAAGCCUGACGGAGCGACACCGCGUGUAGGAUGAAGGCCCUCGGGUUGUAAACUACUGUCACGCCGUAUGAAUGCCCUGUCGUUAAUAGCUUCAGGGUUGACGUCAAGGCGAGAGGAAGCACCGGCUAACUCCGUGCCAGCAGCCGCGGUAAUACGGAGGGUGCAAACGUUGUUCGGAAUCACUGGGCAUAAAGCGCACGUAGGCGGUUUCGUUAGUUUGAUGUGAAAGCCCUCGGCUCAACCGAGGAACUGCAUUGGAUACUGCGAGACUUGAGGAUGGUUGGGGUGAGUGGAACUCCUGGUGGAGCGGUGAAAUGCGUAGAUAUCAGGAGGAACACCAGUGGCGAAAGCGGCUCACUGGACCAUUUCUGACGCUGAGGUGCGAAAGCUAGGGGAGCGAACGGGAUUAGAUACCCCGGUAGUCCUAGCCGUAAACGAUGGGAACUAGGUUGAGGGGGACACCUAUGGUCUUCUCAGCCGCAGCAAAUGUGAUAAGUUCCCCGCCUGGGGAAGUACGCUCGCAAGGGUAAAACUCAAAGGAAUUUGACGGGG
This 851-nucleotide ribosomal RNA is filed under the name uncultured bacterium. Its description in RNAcentral is "bacterial SSU rRNA". It matches the Rfam family "Bacterial small subunit ribosomal RNA", at positions 86 to 918 of the family's 1533-position model. The record is from RNAcentral.